UUGAUGAGAUGCACCACCUACGGCUUCAUU
RNAcentral lists this non-coding RNA (30 nucleotides) under Rattus norvegicus (Norway rat). Lineage: Eukaryota; Metazoa; Chordata; Mammalia; Rodentia; Muridae. The record is from RNAcentral.